This 87-nucleotide transfer RNA is filed under the name Planctomycetales bacterium. RNAcentral describes it as "tRNA-Gly". It matches the Rfam family "tRNA". Rfam says of the family: Transfer RNA (tRNA) molecules are approximately 80 nucleotides in length. The record is from RNAcentral. Lineage: Bacteria; Pseudomonadati; Planctomycetota; Planctomycetia; Planctomycetales.
GCCGCUGUGGUGGAAUUGGCAUACACACUCCAUUCCCAAUGGAGCGCCUCGUCGGGCAUGUGGGUUCGAAUCCCACCAGCGGCACCA